Long non-coding RNA from Mastomys coucha (southern multimammate mouse), 474 nucleotides. RefSeq lists it as uncharacterized. The transcript has 4 exons. Lineage: Eukaryota; Metazoa; Chordata; Mammalia; Rodentia; Muridae. The record is from RefSeq and is a predicted model, not a curated record.
CUACUUGGGAGUGGAUAAGCCAGCAGACAGCUCAUCUUUACAGAAGAAUCUCCUUCCCUCAGAAGCUUAUUGACUUGUACCUAAUCAUGUAUCGCCCUUUGCAUUCAACUUUGUCUUGUGAGACUGAGCUCAGUUGUCAUCUCUUCUUGGAAUUGUUCUUUUUUGCUCUCACCAACAAUCCAACAGGCUGAUCAGACCACAUUCCAGAUCAUCAGACUACCUGCUUCCUGAAGAAACUGGAAAAAAAUUAAGGUUUUGGACAUUAUUCAAGCAAGGUGAAAAUAUGGAACAAAUUACAUGCAAGAAUCAAAACGGCUUUGGAUUCCAGUUUGCAUAUAAUUAACUCCAGAUUGACCAAUGGGCAGUGAAGGAAACCAUUCACUUCAAGAAGAGGAUUAUCACAGCCAUUAUUUUGCUCUAAGUAUAGCUGCUCUGUUUAGAAAAAUAAAGAAAAUAGGGGCUGAAGGGGUGGAU